UACAUAGGGAGCAAGCGUUAUCCGGAAUUAUUGGGUGUAAAGGGUGCGUAGACGGGAAAAUAAGUUAGUUGUGAAAUCCCUCGGCUUAACUGAGGAACUGCAACUAAAACUGUUAUUCUUGAGUGCGGGAGAGGAAAGCGGAAUUCCUAGUGUAGCGGUGAAAUGCGUAGAUAUUAGGAGGAACACCAGUGGCGAAGGCGGCUUUCUGGACCGUAACUGACGUUGAGGCACGAAAGUGUGGGGAGCAAAC
This 250-nucleotide ribosomal RNA is filed under the name uncultured prokaryote. RNAcentral describes it as "partial 16S ribosomal RNA". It matches the Rfam family "Bacterial small subunit ribosomal RNA", at positions 524 to 773 of the family's 1533-position model. The record is from RNAcentral.